AUGUUCAUUGAGAAAUUUUUGUCUGAGGUGGAGGCGAUCCCCGACGGGAAAGAGCGACCCAGGGACCAAAAUGCAAAAUCCAAGGACCUGCAUGCAACGCCCAGGGACGUGCAUGUAACGUCCCGGGAGGAAUCAGUGCAGCGCGACCGACCAGCUCGGACGACCUGGCUCCUGCCGGCGAAGCAUGACGUGAAGAUUAAUGUUGACGGUGGCCUUUCCAAGGUUGGAGACCGUGGAGCUUCGGCGGUGAUCUGCAGGGAUAAGCAUGGCAUGUUUCUUGGUGCUUCCGCGGUUAUUUUCGAGGGUUUGCUUGACCCAACUACACUCGAAGCUCAGGCGUGCAACGAGGCCCUUGCUCUUGCUGCGGACCUCCAUGCUCAAUCCGUGUGUGUUGCAUCGGACUGCCUCGAGGAGAUCAAGCACAGGAUGCAUUCGAUCCAAGAUUUACAGUUUGUGCACGAGAAUAGAAAACAUAAUGAGGAAGCUCAUGCCUUAGCUAAGGCGGCUGCUUCUCUCCCUCCCGGGCGCCAUGUGUGGCUUACUACUCUGCCCGGUAUCAUCUGUACCCCUAUGUGUUUGAACAUUCAAUAA
This 591-nucleotide ribosomal RNA is filed under the name Triticum aestivum (bread wheat). RNAcentral describes it as "partial small subunit ribosomal RNA". The record is from RNAcentral. Lineage: Eukaryota; Viridiplantae; Streptophyta; Magnoliopsida; Poales; Poaceae.